AAUAAUUAAUGAGAGAAAUGCAAGCAGACCUUGUUGACCUAUUAAUUUAUUGGAAAGUGGUGGUUUCAGCAGUCUGAUGUUGUCUCAGUAUUUGGAAGCCAGAAAAGUACAGUAAGAGUAGUGGUAUGUGAUGUACAUCUAGAUCACUUACUUGUAAUGAAGGAAAGAAAAAGAGAUUGACGUUUCCUACUCCUAGCCCAGCAGUAGAUACCUUUCACUGCUGAAAUCCAGAUAUGUCCAGAUCUGCCAUAAAACAGCUCUCCUUGGGAUGUUGGGCAAUGUCCUAGAGUACGUGAUCCCAUAACUAGAAUACUACUAGAUAACACAAAAUACACACUGUAAGGCACUUUAAAACCUUUCAGGCAAGUAUCCCUAAAACUGAUGUAAGCAAAGUCACAGCAGGUUGAUGUUGUGCUUUUUCUGCCAGGGAACAAGAGGAGAGGGAAAACAUUCAGUGGCUGAAGGUUUCCUCCAGUGCCAUCCAAUGACUGAGGGAAAGGGAGCAGAACUGUGACACUUGCAUGCAUACCAGAAUCACAAAGUUCCCUGAAUCUCUGAGAAGAAUAGGCCUAUUGUACAUGACUUUGAAAAAGAAAAAUCAGAAGCUGAUGGGGUGCUGGUCAACAUAAACAGAGAGCCUGAUGGCCUACAUUUGUCCAGAGAUGCUUUUGGGUAGAGAUAAGGCAAGCUUCUUCCCACCAAAUAUGGGAUAACUGUGCUAGAAUGACUCAAUGCUGCUGGUGUAAGGUGACUGAGAAUCUGCUCAGGCAUGAAAGGAUAAGGCCCUGUGCUCAACUUGUGGACAGAGGGGAGUUAAAUGCUGAUUAUUUGGCUGACAAAAGUUGGGGGAGGAUUGUGGUGUAUCCCCACUACAGAAGCUCAGUUAAAUAAGAAAUACGAAGCUGUUGGCUCAGUGUGCUGAGAUGGACAAGUUUCUGCAGACAGUAACACCAUGGGACAUAUUUGUCUAAUGUUAGACCUGGCUGCCUUUAAAAUUGCAUUCUGAAUUUUGAGGUACUUCACUACUGGGUGUAUGGGUAUGACACUAUCCUGGAGAAAGACUCAAUCAUUGCCUGUGGGAGCAAGAAACUCAAAUGACAGCCAUCACACCUCUAAGGGACUCAGUGUUCAUCACAGGCACAAGUAUUUGAUAGAUCCUGAUGGAGUACUUCACUGCUGUUCCCAACACAGAAGGGAUAAAUAGGGAUGCCUUAUCAUCCUGUUUUAUCAUCUCUUUCCAAGGUUCCUGGAGUUAUGAAGUCAUUGCAAUUCAGGUAGAAGGCUUUACACUGAUCCUCCAGACAAGCUGAGUGAGACCUUUGAGUUGAGGUGCUGCAUCUCAAGCAUUUUCCACCCAUGUGCAAGCCCUUACUUCACUAAAGAAUGAAGACACAGUCUUUCCACUUCCAUAUGCUCAGGUCAGCCAUGUGGGAAAACACUGACUUUUCCAUGCCAAGGCAAUGCUCUUUGCAAUAUUCUUUGCUUCUUCACUAGAGCAUUUCCAAAAGGACUGGAGAAGAAUUGGAAAGCAACCAGAGCUUGAUGCUGUGACUUAUUAAACAAACAAACAAAAAAAAAAGGUUGACUGGAUGGCCAAAUGUUUCUCCCCCCCAAAAAAUGCCAUCAUUUUUUGCUUCCCCAGCACAGGACCCAGAUGGGACCAAAAUAACAAUCAUCCUACUUUGCUUCUGGUACAUGUCAUUAAUUUAACACCAGGGAUGUUGUUGAUAGACACCAGUUUCUCAGCCUUCCAAUGUUAUUAGCGAUACGGAAUCUGCUGCGGAAUCUGGUACAAUGCCUUGUUUGCAGUGGCUUUGCUGCAUGAAAAGAGAAAGUCCAGUCACCACAGUUACAGGGAUGUAUGAAAUGCUUGUUCUUUAGCAUGACUCUUAACACAGAGCAUGUAUUCACAGGCAGCAACUGCAUCAUGGACAGGCUUCAGCAGUGGCCUUACCAUGCCCAUGUCAGACUCCACUGCUCCCCACCUCCUGCUUGCCUCCCAAAGCGAUAUAAAUGGAUUGCUAUCGCUCGGUGCCGAUGCCCUCUCUGCUAAUGUUUGUUUCAUGCAUGCUAAUGAGAAGACUGGUAAGAACAGAUUUAUGUUUGGCUCGGCUCAGAGGUAACACGCAUGAAAACGCUGACACAAAUGCUGAAUAAAAGGGAUUUGAAAAUCAA
Long non-coding RNA from Passer domesticus (house sparrow), 2175 nucleotides. RefSeq lists it as uncharacterized. Lineage: Eukaryota; Metazoa; Chordata; Aves; Passeriformes; Passeridae. The transcript has 2 exons. The record is from RefSeq and is a predicted model, not a curated record.